GAUCCUGGCUCAGGAUGAACGCUAGCUACAGGCUUAACACAUGCAAGUCGAGGGGCAGCAUGACGAUAGCUUGCUAUUGUUGAUGGCGACCGGCGCACGGGUGAGUAACGCGUAUCCAACCUGCCCUUGUCCAUCGGAUAACCCGUCCGAAAGGACGGGCCUAACACGAUAUGCAGUUCUUCAGCAGGCAUCUAACGAGAACGAAAUAGUGAAGGAAGGAAGGGAAGUAGGGGAGGU
This 237-nucleotide ribosomal RNA is filed under the name uncultured bacterium. RNAcentral describes it as "partial 16S ribosomal RNA". It matches the Rfam family "Bacterial small subunit ribosomal RNA", at positions 15 to 234 of the family's 1533-position model. The record is from RNAcentral.